This 127-nucleotide non-coding RNA is filed under the name Microcebus murinus (gray mouse lemur). The record is from RNAcentral. Lineage: Eukaryota; Metazoa; Chordata; Mammalia; Primates; Cheirogaleidae.
GUGUUGUAUGAAAGGAGAUAAAGUUUGCACUCCCCUUGACAAGGAUGGAAGAGGCUCUCCAGCCUGCACAACACGCAUAUGGUUAAGGCAUUGCCAUCUACUUCGUGGCAUCUAACCAUCGUUUUUA